Molecule: unclassified non-coding RNA, 376 nt
Filed under: uncultured Glomeromycotina
Lineage: Eukaryota; Fungi; Glomeromycota
Description: sequence contains 28S rRNA gene
Source: RNAcentral
AGAGUUAAACAGUACGUGAAAUUGUUGAAAGGGAAACGAUUGAAGUCAGUCAUGCUAGUAGGAAAUCAACUUGGUGGUGUGAGUUUAUUUUUUUCUUGCUCUUCCUCGUGUACUUUCUUGCUUGGCAGGUUAGCAUCAAUUUUAGUUGUCAUCAAAGAAUUGGGGAAAUGUGGCUUCUCUUCGGAGAAGUGUUUAUAGACCCUGAUAGAUGUGGCGACUGGGAUUGAGGAUUGCAGCGGAUACCUUUAGGUUAGUCACCUGUCUUCUGAAGGUCACCUCGCUUUCAACAGCUUGCUGAUGAUUGUGGGAUUUGGCAGUCUAGAAGGUAGAAUGAUCAUAAAUUCGCUAAGGAUGCUGACGUAAUGGCUUUAAACGA